This 1101-nucleotide ribosomal RNA is filed under the name Candidatus Phytoplasma vitis. RNAcentral describes it as "bacterial SSU rRNA". It matches the Rfam family "Bacterial small subunit ribosomal RNA", at positions 228 to 1337 of the family's 1533-position model. The record is from RNAcentral. Lineage: Bacteria; Bacillati; Mycoplasmatota; Mollicutes; Acholeplasmatales; Acholeplasmataceae.
GGCUUGCGCCACAUUAGUUAGUUGGUGAGGCAAAGGCUUACCAAGAUUAUGAUGUGUAGCUGGACUGAGAGGUUGAACAGCCACAUUGGGACUGAGACACGGCCCAAACUCCUACGGGAGGCAGCAGUAGGGAAUUUUCGGCAAUGGAGGAAACUCUGACCGAGCGACGCCGCGUGAACGAUGAAGUAUUUCGGUAUGUAAAGUUCUUUUAUUGAAGAAGAAAAAAUAGUGGAAAAACUAUCUUGACGUUAUUCAAUGAAUAAGCCCCGGCUAACUAUGUGCCAGCAGCCGCGGUAAGACAUAGGGGGCGAGCGUUAUCCGGAAUUAUUGGGCGUAAAGGGUGCGUAGGCGGUUAGAUAAGUCUAUAAUUUAAUUUCAGUGCUUAACGCUGUCUUGUUAUAGAAACUGUCUUGACUAGAGUGAGAUAGAGGCAAGCGGAAUUCCAUGUGUAGCGGUAAAAUGUGUAAAUAUAUGGAGGAACACCAGAAGCGUAGGCGGCUUGCUGGGUCUUUACUGACGCUGAGGCACGAAAGCGUGGGGAGCAAACAGGAUUAGAUACCCUGGUAGUCCACGCUGUAAACGAUGAGUACUAAGUGUCGGGGUAACUCGGUACUGAAGUUAACACAUUAAGUACUCCGCCUGAGUAGUACGUACGCAAGUAUGAAACUUAAAGGAAUUGACGGGACUCCGCACAAGCGGUGGAUCAUGUUGUUUAAUUCGAAGAUACACGAAAAACCUUACCAGGUCUUGACAUACUCUGCAAAGCUAUAGAAAUAUAGUGGAGGUUAUCAGGGAUACAGGUGGUGCAUGGUUGUCGUCAGUUCGUGUCGUGAGAUGUUAGGUUAAGUCCUAAAACGAACGCAACCCCUGUCGCUAGUUGCCAGCACGUAAUGGUGGGGACUUUAGCGAGACUGCCAAUUAAACAUUGGAGGAAGGUGGGGAUAACGUCAAAUCAUCAUGCCCCUUAUGAUCUGGGCUACAAACGUGAUACAAUGGCUAUUACAAAGAGUAGCUGAAACGCGAGUUUUUAGCCAAUCUCAAAAAGGUAGUCUCAGUACGGAUUGAAGUCUGCAACUCGACUUCAUGAAGCUGGAAUCGCUA